UAAUACAUGCAAGUCGAGCGAACCNAUUAAGAGCUUGCUCUUAAGAAGUUAGCGGCGGACGGGUGAGUAACACGUGGGUAACCUGCCUAUAAGACUGGGAUAACUCCGGGAAACCGGGGCUAAUACCGGAUAACAUUUUGCACCGCAUGGUGCGAAAUUGAAAGGCGGCUUCGGCUGUCACUUAUAGAUGGACCUGCGGCGCAUUAGCUAGUUGGUGAGGUAACGGCUCACCAAGGCGACGAUGCGUAGCCGACCUGAGAGGGUGAUCGGCCACACUGGGACUGAGACACGGCCCAGACUCCUACGGGAGGCAGCAGUAGGGAAUCUUCCGCAAUGGACGAAAGUCUGACGGAGCAACGCCGCGUGAGCGAUGAAGGCCUUCGGGUCGUAAAGCUCUGUUGUUAGGGAAGAACAAGUGCUAGUUGAAUAAGCUGGCACCUUGACGGUACCUAACCAGAAAGCCACGGCUAACUACGUGCCAGCAGCCGCGGUAAUACGUA
Molecule: ribosomal RNA, 500 nt
Filed under: soil bacterium S99D1
Lineage: Bacteria
Description: bacterial SSU rRNA
Rfam family: Bacterial small subunit ribosomal RNA
Source: RNAcentral